UACUGUCAGAGCGAACGCUGGCGGCAGGCCUAACACAUGCAAGUCGAACGGACCCUUCGGUUAGUGGCGGACGGGUGAGUAACACGUGGGAACGUGCCUUUAGGUUCGGAAUAGCUCCUGGAAACGGGUGGUAAUGCCGAAUGUGCCCUUCGGGAAAGAUUUAUCGCCUUUAGAGCGGCCCGCGUCUGAUUAGCUAGUUGGUGAGGUAAUGGCUCACCAAGGCGACGAUCAGUAGCUGGUCUGAGAGGAUGACCAGCCACAUUGGGACUGAGACACGGCCCAAACUCCUACGGGAGGCAGCAGUGGGAAUCUUGCGCAAUGGGCGAAAGCCUGACGCAGCCAUGCCGCGUGAAUGAUGAAGGUCUUAGGAUUGUAAAAUUCUUCACCGGACGAUAAUGACGGUACCCGGAGAAGAAGCCGGCUAACUUCGUGCCAGCAGCCGCGGUAAUACGAAGGGCUAGCGUUGCUCGGAAUUACUGGGCGUAAGGCGCGUAGGCGGACAUAAGUCAGGUGAAAUCCCAGAGCUCAACUCUGGAACUGCCUUUGAUACUGGAUGUCUUGAGUGUGAGAGAGGUAUGUGGAACUCCGAGUGUAGAGGUGAAAUUCGUAGAUAUUCGGAAGAACACCAGUGGCGAAGGCGACAUACUGGCUCAUUACU
RNAcentral lists this ribosomal RNA (658 nucleotides) under Brevundimonas sp. RNAcentral describes it as "bacterial SSU rRNA". It matches the Rfam family "Bacterial small subunit ribosomal RNA", at positions 19 to 741 of the family's 1533-position model. Lineage: Bacteria; Pseudomonadati; Pseudomonadota; Alphaproteobacteria; Caulobacterales; Caulobacteraceae. The record is from RNAcentral.